Molecule: long non-coding RNA, 712 nt
Organism: Lutra lutra (Eurasian river otter)
Lineage: Eukaryota; Metazoa; Chordata; Mammalia; Carnivora; Mustelidae
Exons: 3
Source: RefSeq, a predicted model, not a curated record
CCUGAAUGGAACCGCGCUCUAAGGGACAGCUAGCGGGUAGGUGUAGGCAACUGUCUCCUCCUACUGAUUAGGGCAGCCGAGGAGAAAUACUACUGACAGCGAGGCACUGCCUAAUUUCUUUAUUAGAAGAUUGUUUUCCGUCUCCUUGGACUCCAUACUAGGAAAUGAAACUUGAAGAAUGUCUUUCGCUCUAAAAAAUUCUAGACCCGUACGCUGUUCUGGGGAGUAGCUGGACCUGUGAUGUAACAUUUUUAAAAAUAGUUCAGUCAGCAAUGGUGGCUCAAAAAGCUGCUUCUGGUUCGUGCAGCACCGAAUGUCUCUCUCAAGGAAACUAACAGACCUGGUUGUCCCUGAACUAGGAUUGGUGAGACAGCUGUCCUCCAUCCUAAGGGAAGCCAGCCCAAGGACAAAGCCAAUAUCUAGAGGAUGGCUGAGUGGAGAGAUGGAAAGAAUUUAGGCCAGUAGAUGAUGACAUUCACAUUCUUGAUCCAUGGAAUCAACCAGCCCUGAAAUCUUUACUUCUGAACUUCCUAUCACAUACUGCUGACUGGGGCAAAGAGAAAUGGAAGAAAAUCAUAUAGGUCCUGGGUAACAGAGGGAAGCCAAUUUAUCAUUUAAAGUGUUCAACAGGGGUGCCUGGGUGGCUCAGUCGUUAAGCGUCUAUCUUCGGCGCAGGUCAUAAUUCUGGGGUCCUGGGUCCUGGAAUUGAGCC